Molecule: unclassified non-coding RNA, 429 nt
Filed under: fungal sp.
Lineage: Eukaryota; Fungi
Description: partial internal transcribed spacer region
Rfam family: Eukaryotic small subunit ribosomal RNA (bases 1-46)
Source: RNAcentral
AAGUCGUAACAAGGUCUCCGUAGGUGAACCUGCGGAGGGAUCAUUAACACGUUGCAAAACGUUUCUAUUCAAACCAACCGCGUGAAUUAAUUGAAUCAACUAUUAUACCCCGACCUGAGUGAGAGAGAAUUCUGUUUAGAAUGCACGGAGUGAUGAGUGUGUAUAUGAGCAAUCAUAUACAUACGGUGUAUCUAAACUAGUAUUACGAGUUUCACUGUGUGCGCAAGUAUACAGUGAAACAGAGAUUUUACAAGACCUCUUUUAUUCAGGCUUUUAACCAGUUCUCUUCAUCGCUAGAACGCAACAACCCCUUUCACCACUUAUAAUUAAAUUGACUGAUAUGUUCUUAGUUAAGCGAAAGCUUAACACAUGGGAACAACCUAAUCAAAUAUCUAAGCACAACUCUUAGCAACGGAUAUCUUGGUUCUC